CCACCUGACCCCAUGCCGAACUCAGAAGUGAAACGCCGUAGCGCCGAUGGUAGUGUGGGGCCUCCCCAUGCGAGAGUAGGGAACUGCCAGGC
Molecule: ribosomal RNA, 92 nt
Filed under: Cronobacter sakazakii
Lineage: Bacteria; Pseudomonadati; Pseudomonadota; Gammaproteobacteria; Enterobacterales; Enterobacteriaceae
Also listed under: 5 other names
Source: RNAcentral